UCCGAAUGGGGAAACCCACUGCUUCGGCAGUAUCCUGCAGUGAAUUCAUAGCUGCUGGAAGCGAACCCGGUGAACUGAAAUAUCUAAGUAACCGGAGGAAAAGAAAUCAACCGAGAUUCCCUAAGUAGUGACGAGCGAACGGGGAGCAGCCCUUAAGCUGGAAUGGCUUUAGAAAAACAAUCUGGAAAGAUUGGCCAUAGAAGGUGAUAGCCCUGUAUUUAAAAGGGCCACUCCAGUGAAGACGAGUAGGGCGGGGCACGUGAAACCCUGUCUGAAUAUGGGGGGACCAUCCUCCAAGGCUAAAUACUCCUGACCGACCGAUAGUGAACCAGUACCGUGAGGGAAAGGCGAAAAGAACCCCGGAGAGGGGAGUGAAAUAGAUCCUGAAACCGUGUGCGUACAAGCAGUAGGAGCUCGCAAGAGUGACUGCGUACCUUUUGUAUAAUGGGUCAGCGACUUACUGUUCGUGGCAAGCUUAACCGUAUAGGGGAGGCGAAGGGAAACCGAGUCUGAUAAGGGCGCAUAGUCGCGGGCAGUAGACCCGAAACCGGGUGAUCUAGUCAUGGCCAGGGUGAAGGUGCCGUAACAGGUACUGGAGGCCCGAACCCACGUCUGUUGCAAAAGACGGGGAUGAGCUGUGAUUAGGAGUGAAAAGCUAAUCGAACCCGGAGAUAGCUGGUUCUCCUCGAAAGCUAUUUAGGUAGCGCCUCGGACGAAUACUACUGGGGGUAGAGCACUGUUAUGGCUAGGGGGUCAUCGCGACUUACCAAACCAUUGCAAACUCCGAAUACCAGUACGUACUAUCCGGGAGACACACGGCGGGUGCUAACGUCCGUCGUGAAAAGGGAAACAACCCAGACCCACAGCUAAGGUCCCAAAUUCACUGCUAAGUGGAAAACGAUGUGGAAAGGCAUAGACAGCCAGGAGGUUGGCUUAGAAGCAGCCACCCUUUAAAGAAAGCGUAAUAGCUCACUGGUCGAGUCGGUCUGCGCGGAAGAUUUAACGGGGCUAAGCAGUGAACCGAAGCUUGGGGUGCAUAAAACUUGUUUUAUGCGCGGUAGAGGAGCGUUCCGUAAGCCUGCGAAGGUGGAUUGAGAAGUCUGCUGGAGGUAUCGGAAGUGCGAAUGCUGACAUGAGUAACGAUAAUGCGGGUGAAAAGCCCGCACGCCGAAAGCCCAAGGUUUCCUUGCGCAACGUUAAUCGACGCAGGGUUAGUCGGUCCCUAAGGCGAGGGCGAAAGCCGUAGUCGAUGGGAAGCAGGUUAAUAUUCCUGCACCUCGCGUGAGUGCGAUGGAGGGACGGAGAAGGUUAGGUGUACCGGGCGUUGGUUGUCCCGGGGAAAGGCGGUAGGUUUGGAUCUUUGGCAAAUCCGGGAUCCUUUAAGACCGAGCACCGAGACGAGCCUUUAUGGCGAAGUCACUGAUACCACGCUUCCAGGAAAAGCUCCUAAGCUUCAGCUCACGAAGACCGUACCGUAAACCGACACAGGUGGGUAGGAUGAGAAUUCUCAGGCGCUUGAGAGAACUCGGGUGAAGGAACUAGGCAACAUGGCACCGUAACUUCGGGAGAAGGUGCACCCUUUUUGGUGGCUCAUGCGAGCUAUAGCUGAAGAGGGUCGCAGAAACCAGGCCGCUGCGACUGUUUAUCAAAAACACAGCACUCUGCAAACACGAAAGUGGACGUAUAGGGUGUGACGCCUGCCCGGUGCUGGAAGGUUAAUUGAUGGGGUCAGCCGCAAGGCGAAGCUCUUGAUCGAAGCCCCAGUAAACGGCGGCCGUAACUAUAACGGUCCUAAGGUAGCGAAAUUCCUUGUCGGGUAAGUUCCGACCUGCACGAAUGGCGUAACGACAGCGGCGCUGUCUCCACCCGAGACUCAGUGAAAUUGAAAUCGCUGUGAAGAUGCAGCGUUCCCGUGGCAAGACGGAAAGACCCCGUGAACCUUUACUAUAGCUUUACACUGAACGUUGAGUUCGUCUGUGUAGGAUAGGUGGGAGGCUAUGAAACUGUGGCGCUAGCUGCAGUGGAGCCAUCCUUGAAAUACCACCCUGUCGUGCUUGACGUUCUAACCUAGAUCCGUUAUCCGGAUCAGGGACCGUGUAUGGUGGGUAGUUUGACUGGGGCGGUCUCCUCCUAAAGAGUAACGGAGGAGCACGAAGGUACGCUCAGCGCGGUCGGACAUCGCGCACUGUGUGCAAAGGCAUAAGCGUGCUUGACUGCAAGAUCGACGGAUCAAGCAGGUACGAAAGUAGGUCUUAGUGAUCCGGUGGUUCUGUAUGGAAGGGCCAUCGCUCAACGGAUAAAAGGUACUCCGGGGAUAACAGGCUGAUACCGCCCAAGAGUUCAUAUCGACGGCGGUGUUUGGCACCUCGAUGUCGGCUCAUCACAUCCUGGGGCUGUAGUCGGUCCCAAGGGUAUGGCUGUUCGCCAUUUAAAGUGGUACGCGAGCUGGGUUCAGAACGUCGUGAGACAGUUCGGUCCCUAUCUGCCAUGGGCGUUGGAAGUUUGAGAGGGGCUGCUCCUAGUACGAGAGGACCGGAGUGGACGAACCUCUGGUGUUCCGGUUGUCACGCCAGUGGCAUUGCCGGGUAGCUAUGUUCGGAAGCGAUAACCGCUGAAAGCAUCUAAGCGGGAAGCGCGCCUCAAGAUGAGACUUCCCGGGGCACAAGCCCCCUAAAGGAACCAUAUAGACUAUGUGGUUGAUAGGUCAGGUGUGU
This 2714-nucleotide ribosomal RNA is filed under the name Xanthomonas arboricola pv. juglandis. RNAcentral describes it as "bacterial LSU rRNA". It matches the Rfam family "Bacterial large subunit ribosomal RNA". Lineage: Bacteria; Pseudomonadati; Pseudomonadota; Gammaproteobacteria; Lysobacterales; Lysobacteraceae. The record is from RNAcentral.